Molecule: long non-coding RNA, 703 nt
Organism: Passer domesticus (house sparrow)
Lineage: Eukaryota; Metazoa; Chordata; Aves; Passeriformes; Passeridae
Exons: 3
Source: RefSeq, a predicted model, not a curated record
UCACCAGAGUUUGAAAGUUACUUUUUUUCCCCUGAGAGGAGAAAUACUAUCUCCCUACCUCUGAACAUUAUUUCUUUAAGGAGGUAUUCAUGGGGGAAUGUGUUUGAGCAAUUUAUGAGCAGCAUAGAAUGAAAUCAAAUAUAUAAAUUACCAUUAUGAUUUAGCAGAACAGGAAAGAAAAUGGACUCUCCUUCAUUAAUUGCGAUUUAAAAGUUACAGAAAGAAUACACUAAAAAUCAGGAGAAACUGAAGACGAGAAAACCUAACCAUUCUAUUCUGCGCAAGCUUCAUUUAAACAAAGGACAGCAUUUCAUAAUUAGUCUAGCUGUGAUAUGUACAUCGUACAGGCUUUUCUGUCUAAUUGCAGAGCCAGAGAACGAAAGCAUCUGUAGUGCUGUGGAAAAAGUGGUCGUGUGCUCUUGGGGAAGCUGCAAUCCAGUGCGAGCCUUAGGACGGAUCGAUGUGCCCAGUUCCUGCAGUUUUAGCUGCCUUGCUGGUAGGGUCAUUAUCCCAGGGGCUGUAGCUAAAAGGCCAGAAGCACACGUAGGAAAUCCAUGCUGUUCAGAUGGUGCUCCUGGGAAGAGUGGAAGGAAAGGGAGGAGUGCAGAACAAGAACCAUCACCAUUUUUUUUCUAUUUUAAAUCAUUCUCCUUUCCGCUUAGUCUAAAAUCCUGUUGCAUUUCUCACAGAUGUUUGGCCAUUA